GACGAGCGCUGGCGGCGUGCUUAACACAUGCAAGUCGAACGGAAAGGCCCUGCUUUUGUGGGGUGCUCGAGUGGCGAACGGGUGAGUAACACGUGAGUAACCUGCCCUUGACUUUGGGAUAACUUCAGGAAACUGGGGCUAAUACCGGAUAGGAGCUCCUGCUGCAUGGUGGGGGUUGGAAAGUUUCGGCGGUUGGGGAUGGACUCGCGGCUUAUCAGCUUGUUGGUGGGGUAGUGGCUUACCAAGGCUUUGACGGGUAGCCGGCCUGAGAGGGUGACCGGCCACAUGGGGACUGAGAUACGGCCCAGACGCCUACGGGAGGCAGCAGUGGGGAAUAUUGCACAAUGGGCGGAAGCCUGAUGCAGCAACGCCGCGUGCGGGAUGACGGCCUUCGGGUUGUAAACCGCUUUCGCCUGUGACGAAGCGUGAGUGACGGUAAUGGGUAAAGAAGCACCGGCUAACUACGUG
RNAcentral lists this ribosomal RNA (468 nucleotides) under uncultured bacterium. RNAcentral's name for it is "partial 16S ribosomal RNA". It matches the Rfam family "Bacterial small subunit ribosomal RNA", at positions 28 to 507 of the family's 1533-position model. The record is from RNAcentral.